AUCCAUCUUCCUAGAGUAUUGCACGUAUGUGGACUUUGCUUUUGCUGGAAAAAAAUGUUUUAUAUUGCUAAAGUUCCUUGAAAAUUAUAUUAUCUUGCAGAAAAUUCAAUACACUAGCCAUAUAUAUUCAAUAUUUUAGUUUCUAAGGAAUUCAAACUAAUCUGCAUUUUUUAAAAAGUUUUGAUAAACUGGAGGGGAUGGGCGCGGGGAAGGGAAGGGUAGGAUAAAGGGUUGAGGAGUAGACUUACCGUUAGAAUUCAAUAGCAGACUCAGUCAGAGGACAAUAACCACCAACUCAGUUCAUUCCAAAACCUUGGGUUCAAAACUUCUUUCGAUUUAGACUUCCUUUCUUCCUUUCUUCUAAGAAUAAUUGAUAAAUGUGGCCCAUGCAUUGGUUGUGUAGUUUCAUUACAUUCUCGGUUUGAUCUACUCAUGUUACUCUUUAUAUCAUGUGAAGUUUAACAGUAGUGAAAUUUUCAUGUAAGCAUAUAUGUAUUCUUUUAAAGGUAGAAUCGGGUAGGGCUAAGCAGAAAAUGUUUGUAAUCAAAAGACUGAAAAAAAUUUGUUCUAAUUCAGUUUAGUUUUUUUUUUUUUUUUU
Molecule: unclassified non-coding RNA, 598 nt
Filed under: Hevea brasiliensis (rubber tree)
Lineage: Eukaryota; Viridiplantae; Streptophyta; Magnoliopsida; Malpighiales; Euphorbiaceae
Source: RNAcentral